CUGUGUGGUCAUUAAAGUCCCUUCCAAUCCAAACCAUUCUGUGAUUCUUUGAUUUUAUGAAUAACAGAAGGACAAUGGCCAAAUUGAAAAGAAUCCCUACAAGAUUUUAAUCUGAGAUACCAUUGGCUUGGCUUUCAGAGAUGCCAACCACUUCUUUCUCCUUUUGCUUUGAGUUUGAGCCACAGUAGCACAUUCUUGUUUACAGUGAGGUCUCAAAUUAUAGAAAAAAAAGGUUCAUUUCUCAUAAGUGGUGCCCCCACAUUUCAGUGGACGUUUUAUGAGUGUGAUGAGCCUAAAUCAAGGCAGUGUGGAUUAAGCUCCCCCUCUAAUUUUUCAGCUCACUAUUGAAGGGUAUUUGUUAACAUAAAACUCAGUUACAGCCUGUACACCAUUGUCUUUUAUUAAAAUUAAUUUGAAGUCCUUAUCCAUUAUCUUGGCAUUCUGCAGAACGUAUGAUUAUGUCCCAAAGUAUGGUUGAGCAAGUUUCCUUAUGUGGGUGACAACAUCUGACCCUCUUCUGUAGUAGCACGGACUCAAUGCAAGUGCUAAAAAGUCACCUCAUCCAUUCUGAAUGCCUGCCAGUGGAAAUUGGGAGCACAAGACGCUGAGACUGUGCUGGAAGGAAAUGAUCUCUGAAGUGAGGGGAGAUGGACUGCUAAUUCCAACAACAAACUUACACCUGCUGUCAAGAAUGAUUAUGGAUCAGAGGGGCCACCAGUGAAGAUGCAUGAUGACCUCUUGGAAGGCUUUGCAUGCCUACAAGGCAUCAUGGCAUAGUCAACCUUGUCUCUAAAUGAGUGCUUGUGCACUCUAGCUGCAUGAGGCGGCCCAAACACCCCCACAGAACCCCCCGGACCUCCUGAGACUUCCUGUUGAAGCCCGAGUCUGCAGGUGCAAAUUCGCUGGGUUACAGUCAGCGACAGCAUGAGCUCUGGGUAAGUGCCCUCCCUCGCGUUCAUAAGUGGUCUUUGAAACUGAGAUGUCAGACAAGCAGGUGAAGACAUACUUCGGUUUUAUUGUUGUUUAGGCAUGGAUAGAAACAUUAAUUUUUUUGCUCUCUUGGUUCUUGAAACGUGCCUAUAGUGAACAUGGAGCAGUGAAAAACCGGCUCCCAGGACUGACGUUUUAAAGUGCAUAGGAGAUCUAGCAGAAUCCCAAAAGAUGAGAAGGUGUUUUAAUUCCUUUCUCAUAGCUGUGGAAGUCGAAGGACUUUUUCUUCUCUUCUUCCCCCACGUUCCCAAGACAGUGGUAUGACCAUUUUCAACCCUUCCCUAUGCUUUCCCUGAUGAUCUUUGGAGGUUUCUUCUCUGUGUUUAAGAACGAUUGUAGUGUUAUAAACAAAGACAGUUGAUUUUUGCAUACUCCUUCACCACAUUCUGUUACAGCUUUUCCUGUUUAGAGUCAUGCCCACUGCAUCUUUUUUAAAAAAUGUGUAUCACUUGGCAGUGUUCUCGCACCAAAAGAAAAAGAUAUAUUUGUAUAUAAAGUAACUUUUUUGUGUGUUCACGUUUUAUUUUGGAAAAACAGGUGUUUAAAAAUUUUAGAAUUUUUUUAACAAAAUUCUAAAAAAAAAAAA
Molecule: long non-coding RNA, 1576 nt
Organism: Oxyura jamaicensis (ruddy duck)
Lineage: Eukaryota; Metazoa; Chordata; Aves; Anseriformes; Anatidae
Exons: 4
Source: RefSeq, a predicted model, not a curated record